GCCCCAAGCUCAAUAAAAUAACCCGGGCCACUCCUUUUUUCUCCCUCAAGACCAAGAACGCACGUACAAAAAAAUGAUAACCAGUCCAUCAACAACAAUGACAACAACCUCAACCUCACGUAAAAUUUCCACCGGACAUUAACAACCAUAUCAGCGGCGACCCAUCUCCGACCCGUAACCAGCAACAAAGACCAUCUAAUCCGCUGAAACAAGUCCAAAACAGCCACUUCAACAUCAACAAUUCCAACCCACCAAUAAUCGAUGUCAACUCAAAAAAAAAAUUUCCAGCGAACCCGACCCAAAUCCGUGUAUGAACAUCCAGCUCACCACCAACCAUUUCAAGGUUGUACUAUUUCGUACGAUUACAUCUCAUCCCCUUAUCCCUUUUUUCAAAUUUUGAAUUCCCCUUUGAAAAAUUCUCAAAAUUGCCCUUUAAUUGAUCCUCCGUGGUUUAAGGCUGAGGAACGACCCUCAUUUUGUCUUCUAUAUAAGAAGCGUUGUUGAGCUAUGAGAGGGGAGAAAAAAAUUUCUUUCGGGUUUGGAAUUGGGGUUUGAAAAAUAAAGAACCCGAGAAAGAAAAAUUUCUGAGAGAGAGCAAAAACAAAAAGAAAACAGGGAGAAGAAGGGAAAAAAGGGCUCGGAGCACAAAUCAAUUUCCUUUAGUAAAAUUCUUUUCGGUAAUUCGUCAGCUAAUCGGAUUUUUGAGGUGACGACUACGGUGUUUUUCCGGUGGUUGUGAUUCCGACCGAAGCUCAAGUCCUGUUUUGCUGCUCUGAAAUAGGGAAUAGAGACACUUUCGCUUUUCCUAUGCAGUGAUAGGUGAUUCUUGGAUUAUUCGUGAGUCAACUUAAAGGCAUGAGCCUCCUUCUAGAACGCUUAUUACUUCUUGGUUUAGUUUAUGUCACAAAUUAUUUUCCCUAUUUUUUUUGCUAUUGUCGGGGGCAUGUCCCGACUUAGGUUGUUCUUUGGAUAUUAGAGGCUUUAUGAAUUACUGUGGAUUAGGAUGGAUGUUAAAGCUCUUAUAUUUUUUUCUGAGCUAGUUACCUGACUAUCUUGUUAUAUAUUCAAAAUUCAUUCACUGC
Molecule: long non-coding RNA, 1082 nt
Organism: Capsicum annuum
Lineage: Eukaryota; Viridiplantae; Streptophyta; Magnoliopsida; Solanales; Solanaceae
Exons: 2
Source: RefSeq, a predicted model, not a curated record